AUUGAACGCUGGCGGCAGGCCUAACACAUGCAAGUCGAGCGGAUGAAGGGAGCUUGCUCCUGGAUUCAGCGGCGGACGGGUGAGUAAUGCCUAGGAAUCUGCCUGGUAGUGGGGGAUAACGUCCGGAAACGGGCGCUAAUACCGCAUACGUCCUGAGGGAGAAAGUGGGGAAUCUUGGACCCUACGCCAUUCGGAUAGCCUAGGUCGGAUUAGCUAGUUGGUGGGGUAAAGGCCUACCAAGGCGACGAUCCGUAACUGGUCUGAGAGGAUGAUCAGUCACACUGGAACUGAGACACGGUCCAGACUCCUACGGGAGGCAGCAGUGGGGAAUAUUGGACAAUGGGCGAAAGCCUGAUCCAGCCAUGCCGCGUGUGUGAAGAAGGUCUUCGGAUUGUAAAGCACUUUAAGUUGGGAGGAAGGGCAGUAAGUUAAUACCUUGCUGUUUUGACGUUACCAACAGAAUAAGCACCGGCUAACUUCGUG
Molecule: ribosomal RNA, 483 nt
Filed under: uncultured bacterium
Lineage: Bacteria
Description: partial 16S ribosomal RNA
Rfam family: Bacterial small subunit ribosomal RNA
Source: RNAcentral